UACGAAGGGGACUAGCGUUGUUCGGAAUCACUGGGCGUAAAGCGCACGUAGGCGGAUGUGUCAGUCAGGGGUGAAAUCCCGGGGCUCAACCUCGGAACUGCCUUUGAUACAGCACGUCUCGAGUCCGGAAGAGGUGGGUGGAAUUCCUAGUGUAGAGGUGAAAUUCGUAGAUAUUAGUAAGAACACCGGUGGCGAAGGCGGCCCACUGGUCCGGUACUGACGCUGAGGUGCGAAAGCGUGGGGAGCAAACAGG
RNAcentral lists this ribosomal RNA (253 nucleotides) under uncultured bacterium. RNAcentral describes it as "partial 16S ribosomal RNA". It matches the Rfam family "Bacterial small subunit ribosomal RNA", at positions 524 to 776 of the family's 1533-position model. The record is from RNAcentral.